ACCGCUCGUAAAGUCCCCGGUUGGUUUAUAMAACAUGUUCACGGGUUGUUUAUUUUAANGUUUCGACAAUGAUCCUUCCGUAGNGUGANCUGCGGAAGGAUCAUUG
This 106-nucleotide ribosomal RNA is filed under the name Soleirolia soleirolii. RNAcentral describes it as "partial 18S ribosomal RNA". Lineage: Eukaryota; Viridiplantae; Streptophyta; Magnoliopsida; Rosales; Urticaceae. The record is from RNAcentral.